GACGAACGCUGGCGGCGUGCUUAACACAUGCAAGUCGAACGAAGUGGCGAACGGGUGAGUAACGCGUAAUCAACCUGCCCUUCAGAGGGGGACAACAGUUGGAAACGACUGCUAAUACCGCAUACUGAAGGAGGGGUUUGCGUCUGAUUAGCUAGUUGGAGGGGUAAUGGCCCACCAAGGCGAUGAUCAGUAGCCGGUCUGAGGGGAUGGACGACCACAUUGGGACUGGGGCACGGGCCAGGUUCCUACGGGAGGCAGCAGUGGGGGAUCUUCCGCAAUGGACGAAAGUCUGACGGAGCAACGCCGCGUGAGUGGUGACGGCCUUCGGGUUGUAAAGCUCUGUUAAUCGGGACGCGGUACCGGAAUAGAAAGCCACGGCUAACUACGUGCCAGCCGCCGCGGUAAUUC
RNAcentral lists this ribosomal RNA (408 nucleotides) under uncultured bacterium. Its description in RNAcentral is "partial 16S ribosomal RNA". It matches the Rfam family "Bacterial small subunit ribosomal RNA", at positions 28 to 526 of the family's 1533-position model. The record is from RNAcentral.